GUAAGCAAUCUUGAACCAGUGAUUCUAACAGAGCCCCCAAAUUGACUGAAGAUCUUGAUCUUGAAUGUUGUUCAAGAAUUCCACACGUUCAAUGACAAGAAACAACACAAUGUUCUUCAAAAUAUCUGCAACUCUGCAACAAAGAAAUGUAUAUGACAAUCAAAGAAUGUACAUUUUUCUUAGAAUUAUUGAUUAAAACACUAAACUUACAAAUGAAUGAAUAAUUCUCCAUGAUCAUCAACAAUCAAAAUCAACAACAAUAGAAGAGAAACAAGAAAACCAAAAGGCCAAUCUUUGUUCUGCAAAAUUGAUCACAGAGUGAAAAACAAUGAACCCCAAAAUUGCAUUUUUCUUCGAAGCUGAAGAACGAAAAGAGAAAAUAUCCUGCAUAUAGUGUAUAAAAGAACAAACCACCCAACACAAGAUCGAUAAUAAAAUUACUCUAGCAAACUGCAUAACUACAACUAGAAGUCUAAAAAUGCAAACAUCAUCUUCACGUACUAUAAUACUACAUGAUAAAACAAAACAAUAAUUCCAACUUAAAUUGAUCAAAACAACUUAUGCAUUGAAGAAACAAGCCAAGUAUGCAAAGUACUCACAGGCCUGAUGGCCAAAAAUUCCUUUUCCAUUUGAAACUUUUGGUAAAUAGUUUCCUGAUAAUCUGAACUUUGACGAAUCAUCUCCAACUCACUUUCAUUCCAAAAUAUCUAUAAAAAAAAAAAUCACAAAUCACAAAUCACAUGAAAAUUUUUAUGAGUAACCAUAUAUAAUUAUUUGAACAAGUAAAAUGGUACAAUACAUUAUAAACAUGAACCAGAAAAAAAUCACUAAAACUUUAAAUGAAAUAAAAAUUAAAAACAUAAACAAAUCACAAUAAUUUUAAGAACAAAAGAAUAAUUUCAGAAUCAGUACCUACGUUUCAGUCAGAGAGAGAGAGGAAACGAGAGAGAGCUUCAAUUCGUGUAAUUUUGUUUCACUGAGUUUAGGAUUCUGCAAUUAGGGAUUGGAAUUUGCGUUUCAGCCUUGACGAGAGAGACGACAGAGAUGAGCGAGUAGGGUUCUAGAUCUUGAAGUUCGAGAGAGAUCGUGAGAGAUGAGGCUAGGGUUCGAGUUCGAAUUCGAGGAACGAGCUGAGAGAGCUAUGAUUCGUUUCACUGAGCUGAGAUUUGCGUUUAGUAAGCCUUCGAUUUGGGAUUGGAAUUUGUGAUUCAGUGAAAGGGAUAUUGGAGGCUAGGGUUCGAGAGAGAACAAGUGUGAGAGAGAGAGAGAACGAGUUCGAUCGAUUUGCUGAAACAGAGAAGAUUUGCUGAACGAUUCGAUCGAUUUGGUGAUAUUGAAGGCUAGAGUUCGUGAAAUUGAGAGCUAUGAUUCGAUCGUUUUGGUGCAGCUAAUGAGAGAAGUUA
Molecule: long non-coding RNA, 1403 nt
Filed under: Trifolium pratense (red clover)
Lineage: Eukaryota; Viridiplantae; Streptophyta; Magnoliopsida; Fabales; Fabaceae
Description: long non-coding RNA (TPRA_LNC004770)
Source: RNAcentral